ACUUCAUGAUUCGCGCGACGAACUUUUGUCAAUUAAUGCCAAAAUUGGCCGGCAUGGGUACGAUGUUUUUGACCGGAAUCAAAAAGUUCAAAAAGCACCAAAACAUGAUUUUUGGACAUAUUUGACUUUAUUGGGUGCGUUCGUGACAAAAACUCACUUCCUGAUUCGCGCGGCGAACUUUUGUCAAUUAAUGCCAAUAUUGGCUGACAUGGGUGCGAUGUUUUUGACCGGAAUGAAAAAGUUCAAAAAGCGCCAAAACAUGAUUUUUAGACAUAUUGGAGUGUAUUGGUUGCGUUCGUGGCAAAAACUUACUUCGUGAUUCGCACGAUGAACUUUUGUCAACUAAUGCCAAUAUUGGCAAAUUUUGGCCCACACGGAUGCGAUGUUUUUGACCGGAAUGAAAAAGUUCAAAAAGCACCGAAACAUGAUUUUUGCACAUAUUAGACUUUAUUGGGUGCGUUCGUGGCAAAAACUCACUUCGUGAUUCGCGCGGCAAAUUUUUGUCAAUUAAUGCCAAUAUUGGCCGACAUGGGUGCGACGUUUUUGACCGGAAUCAAAAAGUUCAAAAAGCACCAAAACAUGACUUUUGGACAUGUUGGAGUGUAUUGGGUGCGUUCGUAGCAAAAACUCACUUCGUGAUUCGCGUGGCGAACUUUUGUCAAUUAACGACAAUAUUGGAAAAUUUUAGCCCACACGGAUGCGAUGUUUUUGACCGGAAUCAAAAAGUUGAAAAAACACCAAAACAUGAUUUUUGGACAUUUUGGAGUGUAUUGGGUGCGUUCGUGGCAAAAACUCACUUCGUGAUUCGCGCGGCGAACUUUUGUCAAUUAAUGCCAAUAUUGGCCGACAUGGGUGCGAUGUAUUUGACCGGAAUGAAAUAUUUCAAAAAAGCACCAAAACAUGAUUUUAGGACAUAUUGGAGUGUAUUGGGUGCGUUCGUGGCAAAAACUCACUUCGUGAUACACGCGGCGAACUUUUGUCAAUUAAUGCCAAUAUUAGCCCACACAGGUGCGAUGUUUUUGACCGGAAUGAAAUAGUUCAAAAAGCACCAAAACAUGAGUUUAGGACAUAUUGGAGUGUAUUGGGUGCGUUCGUGGCAAAAACUCACUUCGUGAUUCGCGCGACGAACUUUUGUCAAUUAAUGCCAAUAUUGGCCCACACAGGAGAGAUGUUUUUGACCGGAAUGAAAUACUUCAAAAACUCACCAAAACAUGAUUUUAGGACAUAUUAGAGUGUAUUGGGUGCGUUCGUGGCAAAAACUCACUUCGUGAUUCACGCGGCGAACUUUUGUCAAUUAAUGCCAAUAUUGGCCGACUUGGGUACGACGUUUAUGACCGGAAUCAAAAAGUUCAAAAAGCACCAAAACAUGAUUUUUGGACAUAUUGGAGCGUAUUGGGUGCGUUCCUGGCAAAAACUCACUUCGUGAUUCGCGCGGCGAACUUUUGUCAAUUAUUGACAAUAUAGGCCGACAUGGGUACGAUGUUUUUGACCAGAAUCAAAAAGUCCAAAAAGCACCAAAACAUGAUUUUUGGACAUAUUAGACUUUAUUGGGUGCGUUCGUGGUAAAAACUCACUUCGUGAAUCGCGCGGCGAACUAUUGUCAACUAACGCCAAUAUUGGCAAUUUUGGACCACACGGAUACGAUGUUUUUGACCGGAAUGAAAAAGUUGAAAAAGCACCAAAACAUGAUUUUUGGACAUAUUGGACUUUAUUGGGUGCGUUCGUGGUAAAAACUCACUUCGUGAUUCGCGCGACGAACUUUUGUGAAUUAAUGCCAAUAUUGGCCGACAUGGGUGCAAUGUUUUUGACCGGAAUGAAAAUUUUCAAAAAGCAGCAAA
RNAcentral lists this long non-coding RNA (1838 nucleotides) under Oryza sativa (Asian cultivated rice). RNAcentral describes it as "long non-coding RNA (OSAT_LNC000337)". The record is from RNAcentral. Lineage: Eukaryota; Viridiplantae; Streptophyta; Magnoliopsida; Poales; Poaceae.